Molecule: non-coding RNA, 2724 nt
Organism: Microcebus murinus (gray mouse lemur)
Lineage: Eukaryota; Metazoa; Chordata; Mammalia; Primates; Cheirogaleidae
Source: RefSeq, a predicted model, not a curated record
AGGAACAGACCCCUGCUCAGUUCGGACUCCUGUCCUGUCCCAGGAUUCCCUGUCACCUCCCCUGGAGUAGGACAUUUCUCAGGUUGAAGGCUGAGGCAAUGUGGCCUCCGCCUCUCUCCACCACAUGGCAAAGUGAGAGCUUGGGGCCAUCAGCUCAUUGAGGACACCUGGGAGCAAAGGCUCCGUCCCUGCCUGAGGCCUGUGUGCUCAGACACACUCUCCACCUGCUCAGCCCAGGUAGCCAGGUCUCACUGUGGACAGGGCACGGGCACGGGGAAGUUGUCAUCUCAGAGUCCUGCUGCUUCACUGAUGGCAGAGAGCUCAGGGACCAGGGGUGAGCAUCGCGGACCCUGGAAGGAUGGCGGAGCUGGUCCCCACCACAGGUGUCAGUGUGAAGCCAUCAGGACAGAGCUGGCUUCCUGAAAGGGGCUGCUGUUCUGCACAACCCCAGGGACCUGCUUUGUGGAACAGCAGCCCCUGCAGAGGCCUCUCGCUGGCUGGAAGAAAGCGCCGGGUCUGCUGCUGGGAGGGCCGCAAAGCCCAGACUCGGCAAAGCAGGCAGAGCCGCGGCCAAGGGCAGGACAGAAGCGACGAGCCUGAGAGCAGGGGCAGCUGCCCGAGGCCCCGCUGGAGACAGGCGCCUCAGACUCAAGGCUUGCAGGGGCUCUGCACCCCCACCGCUCCUGUGUGACACACAGUGGCAUGUCCUUACUGGAACAGGUCAUAGGCACAAUACCGUCUCAAGGGCUUGGGCUGCAGGCAGAGAUGCUUGUCCUCUAAGCCCAUUUCUGUUACCUGCUGCUGAGUGGCUGAGGAUCAACCUCCCCAUGUCCACGCUCCUGAGCAGAAGCCAAACCGGGGUGUCCGGCUGCUAUGACUGUGUCAUCCAUCAGUUGCCAGUGUUCCCUGGGUGUCCAGGGUCCACCCACACUCUCUAUCACCAGAGCGAGCACAUCUCUGGCACGGAGACAGAAGUUGCUGCCAUGGGCUCCCAGCCAGGGGACAGGCUCAGUUCCUCAGGGGGUGGGUCCGUGCAGCCGCCUCCCCGGCAGAGUCUCCCCGGAUCACUGAGAUCAUCUGCUUCCUGCUGCACUGCAGGUCCUGGGUGUCCUGAGCCCAGCUCAGCUCUGCCAGCACCUCUGCAGCCCAACAGCCCGUUCUCCACCCCCUCCUGCCUCACAGGACUGAGCUGCAGGGAACAAUAGAGGGACCCUGCUCUCUCUGUCCCCAGUGGCUCUUCCCAUCAUCACCCCAGUCCUUAGGACUGUCCAUCUGCACCCGCCCAUAGACCACAAAGAUGUCCUCUGGGGACAGUCACAGGACACAAACUGAUUGUCAAUGUUGUGCACAUGUUGCGGACAGUUUCUGCAGAAAUGAGCACCUCCUGCCAGUACCAGGAGGCCACAAGCAAGGUGAGCUCUAAGAGGCCACUGGGGAGCUACACACACAGAGUGUGGACAGGGACAGUGGAUUUGCGGUCGUUCUGCUGGGUCACACCCUGGUGAGGUCUCUGGGAACCAGUCCGGUUCCCUGCAGCUGGCGGUCACUGAUCAGGACAGCAAGCUGGGAGGGUGUGCUACCCGCUGGCCUGUGCACAAAACAGGCCCAUGUGUGUGCAUGUGUGUGUGUGUGUGUGUGUGUGCACUCACAUGCUGCUGUUGCGAGGGGUAUUGCCAGUGUCAAAUGUUCCAAACCCAGAGCUUUUCACUUUUCCUACCCUCCCUCCUCCUGCUGCCUCCAGCGCCCUGCACUGUAAUAAGAAUAAGGGUGAGGAUACUGACGGUGGUGGGAGGAGGAAUGAACAUUCAUUCCCACGUGCUUAAUACACGGCAAGCGCUACUCACAGCACUUCUUGUUAUUAAAUCCUUUGAUCCCAGCCACUGCACAAUCACACAUUUUCAGCAUCACCCACUUCACAGCUGGGGAGUCUCUGGCCCAGAUUUCUACAGAUGGGACGACAUGCAGCGAGAACAACUGGCCUGUGGUCACAACCAGACAGCGGCCGACCCAGGAGCAGAACCCUAGCUCCCCUGCCAUGGAGGGAGCAAGGGGAGUGCCCCACCUCUGUCCACACACAGGGAGGACAGUGCACCUGAUGAAAGAGGAGAGAGUGGUGACAAGAGGGACCCGGAGCCCUGGCAUGGGAGGAGAGGCAGGGCAGGGAUGGCUGGAGCAUCAGGCUCUGAGCUGAGUGUCCUGGAUGGACUCUUGACCACACUCACUGCUGUCUCUGGACUGUGGCAAAAUCAUGUCACCUCCUGACCUUGGUUCGUUCAUGAGUAGACGGGACGGAGAUUGUGCCUUAAGAAAAUGGUUGCUAUGGGGUUAUGAUGAAUGCCCUUUUAGGAUGGUGAAUAUAAAACCCUCAGCAGUGUCUGGCAUGUAUCUGGUGCUCAGAGGCAGUCACUGUGCAUGAACUAGUGACACAGGUAAGGUGUCGUUCCUCCUGUGGACACCAGGGGGCACUGUGGGCCUUGGCUUGGGGACCAGAAUAACUCCAGUUCCCUGGUAGAGCUCAGGUGCAAAGGGCAGGACUGCUGCUCCCUGGGAUCACCUGUCUAUUAGGUGACCUCCGUGCUCCACACAUGAAAACCUCCUUCUCCUGCCUUGGAACCUGGAAAACUGCCAGCCUGGGGCCCUCAGGCUCAGCGCUCAGACUAGGGCUCAGAGAGACACUGGGGGAUGGGCAGGGCUCUGUGCUCAGUGCUCACCAGGGAGCAGCCC